This 462-nucleotide unclassified non-coding RNA is filed under the name Hevea brasiliensis (rubber tree). Lineage: Eukaryota; Viridiplantae; Streptophyta; Magnoliopsida; Malpighiales; Euphorbiaceae. The record is from RNAcentral.
GCAGCUCCACAAUCCUUAGCAGCUCACUCUACUGCUCCUCUAGUCUCUAUAUCUUCUUUGGACCGCACCCGAGGGCUGCUUACGUACCUCAUAUGGAGGAUCAGGAGGAUCAGGUCCACGUAGCUCUUAAAUUUUGAGCUAUAUGAAUCGAAGCUGAAAUUUCUGUAUCUCUGCUCAUGAAAUCAGUUUCCCCUUCAUAUUUUGCCAAAUCAAAACCCCAAUAAGGUAAUUGUGUAAUUUGAGGCAACGAUGGAAGGGCUGAUGGGCAGCAAUGGCAUUUGAACUUACGAGGGCAGCAAUAACAGUUCCUUCUCCCUUUGAUUUGCGUAUUUCUACAUUGAAAACUCAAUAAGGAAAUUUGAUUAGAGCUAAAAAAGUGCAAGAGUUCUGAUUUUAUGGUGGAAGAAAGUCAAAAUGGGUUAGAAAAAUAUGGAUUUGGGUGGGUUUACUACUGCUGCCUCC